Molecule: long non-coding RNA, 1909 nt
Organism: Anas platyrhynchos (mallard)
Lineage: Eukaryota; Metazoa; Chordata; Aves; Anseriformes; Anatidae
Source: RefSeq, a predicted model, not a curated record
CUGAGUUUUAUAAAAGUUAACCAAGUUAAGUAUGCUUCUACCUACAGUGACAAGAUGUGAAAUUUAGCCAUCUAUUCUCAAGUGAAAUCUACAGUAAUCCUGGUUAACUCACUCAUCAGAAACUGGGAAGGGCAAAAGUUCACAAGCACAGGACUGUCCCAUCUGUUUGCAAGAUGACUGUUACCACUUAGGCUCUCAGCAACUUCAGUUUACAAAUAUUUGGCUGCAGUAAGAGGAAUCAGAUGGAUGACUAUGCUUUUGGAAAUUCAGAAUUGUCUAACAUACCACAAAGAGAGGUAAAAGAUAACCUUUUCAUGGAUUCGCCUGACUGUUCUCAUGCUUUAGUUAAACAAUAAAGUCCCAAGAUCAGAUACAAUUCCUUCUGGUAACAAAAUUUAUAAUCUAUAUUCUUAGUAGAGAAGUGAUCUAAUCAAUAAAAAAUAAAUACAAAACUUGAAGAACAGAUACAAAGACCAGCGACAGGACCUGGAGGUCUGUUGCCAAGGGAUGCCAUAUAUUAAUGUAUGUGUUUAUUUACUGUUCAAUUAGCUACCAUAGAUACAGGGAGAAGACAACUCAUCUGAGUAAUCUAACUGUCAGGGUAGCUGAUAAAAAUGCCUUUACAUGCUGGAAGGCAAAAAAGGCAAAAAAUAUAACAUGCUGGAACAUAAUGCUGGAUGGUAAGCAAGAGAUUGCAGUUAAAGCUGAUCUCAUGCUUUGAUAUUGGGGAGAGAAGAUAUGCUUGAAAAACACAAAAAUAUGUCUAAUGGUUUAUUUCUUAUAUUGUUCUACUUGUAUUAUCCAUUAUCAGACAUUGAUACACUGGAAUGAUAAAACCGCUAUCAUCAUCUCAAAAAAAAAAAAAAAUCAGAAAAUUAAUGAUUGAUCAUGGCUUUAAAUGAUAAGUACAACAAUUUCCUUUGAAUCAUUCAUCAAAAGGAUUGAGAAUUAUAUCAGGAAGAAAAAUUACAACAGUUCAACUUCUGUCAUUUUCCCACCUUUUACUAAGUAAUUUACAUUCCUUUUUAUUUUCCAUAUUAUGAGAUCAUUUCCAAAGCUUAAAAUAACUUGGCAGCUCUACAAACAUAUUCUGUUUUCUUAACGUUUCCUUGUUUACUUAUUACAUGGAUUAGGUUUUUGAACAGUGGUUUUCCGGCAAAUCAGUAAAAGCCUGCAAUGUUCUUUAAAAGGAAGAUAAGAGUCACACACAGUGCAAUCCAAAUGGCUCAGUUUUGAAAACUAUUAAAUGUAUCCUUAAAAAUAUCAAUCCUAAUGAAUCCACGAACAAAACUAUCUGUUAAAGUGAGUGUUUACCAGUGUAGAAAAGAUUAUAAAAAUCAUCCCAGAGAAAUCAUUCUCUCUCUCAUGUUUAAUGACUAACAAGCUGGAUGUAAAGAAUGGUAUAUUCAAUAAAGACUGUCUUGAAUAUAGUCUUUUUGUAAAUGACGUGUUGCCCUCCACAAGAGGCAUGUUGUUCUGGCAUUUUAGAGGCAAACUGAAAAGCAUUUAGUGUAAGAAAUCCAGUGGUUUGUGAUUACAAAUCAUUACUUAAACAAUGUGAACUUGAACAUAUUUUUCAUGAUGUUCCUUAUAAUUCUGAGUUUCAACUACAAAACCCCAAAUAUUUCGUUAUCAGAAAAGCUGGAAAGGAAAGUGCUUUUAAGUUAAGACAACAAUUUAUGAUGCCAUCUUCCAGAACAGCCAAAACUCACUGGUUGGGUUUUGAUUUAUGGAACUAAAAAGGAGUGCUGGGAAGGCCAGGAAUAAUUUAUGGAAAUAAUCAAACAGCUGGUUUGAGUCACUGUAGAUCCAUUGCAGUUAUCUGAUUUACAACAGCCAAAUAAUUUAAUCAUAUAAAAUUUGGAUAAAAACACCAGCGUAUUGCAAUUCAACCUUUGUCAGUCUAAGA